RNAcentral lists this transfer RNA (67 nucleotides) under Marmota monax (woodchuck). RNAcentral describes it as "tRNA.Ser". Lineage: Eukaryota; Metazoa; Chordata; Mammalia; Rodentia; Sciuridae. The record is from RNAcentral.
GGAUUGUGGCUCAGUGGUAAAGCGCUUGCCUACUGCACGUGGGACCUGGGUUCGAUUCUCAGCACCA